CCCUAGUAACGGCGAGUGAAGCGGCAACAGCUCAAAUUUGAAAUCUGGCUCUUUUAGAGUCCGAGUUGUAAUUUGCAGAGGGCGCUUUGGCUUUGGCAGCGGUCCAAGUUCCUUGGAACAGGACGUCACAGAGGGUGAGAAUCCCGUACGUGGUCGCUGGCUAUUGCCGUGUAAAGCCCCUUCGACGAGUCGAGUUGUUUGGGAAUGCAGCUCUAAAUGGGAGGUACAUUUCUUCUAAAGCUAAAUAUUGGCCAGAGACCGAUAGCGCACAAGUAGAGUGAUCGAAAGAUGAAAAGCACUUUGGAAAGAGAGUCAAACAGCACGUGAAAUUGUUGAAAGGGAAGCGCUUGCAGCCAGACUUGCUUACAGUUGCUCAUCCGGGCUUUUGCCCGGUGCACUCUUCUGUAGGCAGGCCAGCAUCAGUUUGGGCGGUAGGAUAAAGGUCUCUGUCACGUACCUCCUUUCGGGGAGGCCUUAUAGGGGAGACGACAUACUACCAGCCUGGACUGAGGUCCGCGCAUCUGCUAGGAUGCUGGCGUAAUGGCUGUAAGCGGCCCGUCUUGAAACACGGACCAAGGAGUCUAACAUCUAUGCGAGUGUUUGGGUGUCAAGCCCGAGCGCGUAAUGAAAGUGAACGGAGGUGGGAACCCGCAAGGGUGCACCAUCGACCGAUCCUGAUGUCUUCGGAAGGAUUUGAGUAAGAGCAUGGCUGUUGGGACCCGAAAGAUGGUGAACUAUGCUUGAAUAGGGUGAAGCCAGAGGAAACUCUGGUGGAGGCUCGCAGCGGUUCUGACGUGCAAAUCGAUCGUCAAAUUUGGGCAUAGGGGCGAAAGACUAAUCGAACUAUCUAGUAGCUGGUUCCUGCCGAAGUUUCCCUCAGGAUAGCAGUAACGUAUUCAGUUUUAUGAGGUAAAGCGAAUGAUUAGAGGCCUGGGGGUUGAAACAACCUUCACCUAUUCUCAAACUUUAAAUAUGUAAGAAGUCCUUGUUACUUAAUUGAAC
RNAcentral lists this ribosomal RNA (1002 nucleotides) under Pleosporaceae sp. DIS 298d. RNAcentral describes it as "eukaryotic LSU rRNA". It matches the Rfam family "Eukaryotic large subunit ribosomal RNA", at positions 78 to 1100 of the family's 3401-position model. Lineage: Eukaryota; Fungi; Ascomycota; Dothideomycetes; Pleosporales; Pleosporaceae. The record is from RNAcentral.